GACGAACGCUGGCGGCGUGCCUAACACAUGCAAGUCGAACGGGACCGCAAGGUUCAGUGGCGGACGGGUGCGUAACACGUGAGGAACAUAGCCAACGGCGGGGGAUAGCCGGCCCAACGGCCGGGUAAUACCGCGUACGACCUUUGGGGGGCAUCCCUGGGGGUGAAAGCAGCAAUGCGCCGAUGGGGUGCCUCGCGGCCUAUCAGCUAGUUGGUGAGGUAACGGCUCACCAAGGCUACGACGGGUAGCUGGUCCGAGAGGAUGACCAGCCACAUUGGGACUGAGACACGGCCCAGACUCCUACGGGAGGCAGCAGGUGGGAAUAUUGCGCAAUGGGCGAAAGCCUGACGCAGCGACGCCGCGUGUGGGAUGAAGGUCUUCGGAUUGUAAACCACUGUCGGGAGGACGAAGCUCUGACGGUACCUCCAAAGGAAGCACCGGCUAACUCUGUGCCAGCCGCCG
RNAcentral lists this ribosomal RNA (462 nucleotides) under uncultured bacterium. RNAcentral's name for it is "bacterial SSU rRNA". It matches the Rfam family "Bacterial small subunit ribosomal RNA", at positions 28 to 517 of the family's 1533-position model. The record is from RNAcentral.